GUUGGAGACAGGGUCUCACUCUGUCGCCUAGGCUGGAGCUCAAUGGCAGUCUCAGCUCACUGCAGCCUCUGCCUCAUGGGCUCAAGUGAUUCUCCAUCCUCAGCCUCCCGAGUAGCUGGGAUUACAGGCAUAUGCCACCACGCCUGGCUGAUUUUUGUAUUUUUAGUAGAGAUGGGGUUUCACUAUGUUGGCCAGGCUGGUCUUGAACUCCUGACCUCAAGCGAUCCACCCACCUUAGCCUUCCCAAGUGCUGAGAUUUCAGGCAUGAGCCACUGUGCCCAGCCAAAAACUCUUAUCUGAUCAGACAUUUUGUUGCACUUAAGCUUGGAAGAUUCAAUAGGAAGUAAUUUUUUUGCUAAAUUGGGAUUUAGCAUUAUUUGUUUUAUAUCUAUGUGUAUAUAUAUAUAUAUAUAUAUAUAUAUACAUGAGUAAUAUACAAGAGUAUACUAGUGUACUACUCUUGUAGCAUAUGUCCAUUGGUGAACAUAGGUAGGCAUUUCUGUGCCUAGAAGUGUGUAUAUACCUACACAUACAUUUAUAUUAUAUUCACACACACACACACACACACACACACACACAGAGUAUUAAUUGAAGAGAGUUAUAAGACACAGCUUUAGGAAACUAGUUGCUGAAUUUUGUCUUGAUCUUGCUGAGCACAGUGUUUGUUUAUUUGGCCCAAAGAAGCAAUGGAGGUAAGAAGUCUUUCGUGGCCUGGGUUACUCCCAGCAGGUGAAGCUGGAUACUGGCUGCUGUCUUUUACCCUGGACCCCGGAUGGGCAACACAGGUGAAUAAUAUCUUGCUCAGUCUGGAAAGACCCAAAGAGAUAAUUCACCCCUUUCC
RNAcentral lists this long non-coding RNA (841 nucleotides) under Homo sapiens (human). Its description in RNAcentral is "HSALNT0267331". Lineage: Eukaryota; Metazoa; Chordata; Mammalia; Primates; Hominidae. The record is from RNAcentral.